UCUGGAGAUAGAUGCUGGUGGUAGUUGCAUAACAAUGUGCAUGAUCAGUGACAGAUUUGUACAUUUAAAAAUGAUGAAAAUGGUAAAUUUUAUGUAUAUUUCACCACAAUUUUUUAAAGUUUUUUUAAGUUAGGUUGACCUUGACCUUCCUUCCUCUGUUUUUCUCCUACCUAGGGGCAAUAUCAAUAAUACCAAGCACACUGUUGACCUUAAUUAUGACAGAGUCCUGUCUCCAUCUGUUUAUCUCAGUUGUUAAUCACUGAGCAAACAACCCGAGCUGCCUAAGCUAAAGUGUCCAGUGGACCUAAAAGAUCACUGUCUGUGUUACUGCCUGUUUCUGCCUUCCUUCUAUUGGAAGACCUCCCUAGGUCUUAGCUAAGUUGAUGAAAAUUACACCCAUAUCUUAUUAUGUUCCAACUUCAUACCUCAACUGCC
This 435-nucleotide long non-coding RNA is filed under the name Homo sapiens (human). RNAcentral describes it as "non-protein coding lnc-ZCCHC10-2:1". The record is from RNAcentral. Lineage: Eukaryota; Metazoa; Chordata; Mammalia; Primates; Hominidae.